GCUUUAAUUAACUAACCCAAACUCAUGGACAUUACUCACCUACAAGGUAUAAUACUCUACCAUAGUUAUGAGUUAGCAAUUUAGGUUGGGGUGACCUCGGAAUAUAAAAAAACUCCCGAGUGAUUAAAAUUCUAGACUUACCAGUCAAAAUGUAACAUCACUUAUUGAUCCAAUAAUUUUUGAUCAACGGAACAAGUUACC
Molecule: ribosomal RNA, 201 nt
Filed under: Chrysocyon brachyurus (maned wolf)
Lineage: Eukaryota; Metazoa; Chordata; Mammalia; Carnivora; Canidae
Description: partial 16S ribosomal RNA
Source: RNAcentral